ACGGGUCACAGCUGCACUUAACAAAGUUUUCUUGGGCCUGUGCAGAUUCUAGACGGGGUUCCAUUACAGCUGUAAUCCCAGCAACCUCAGGCUGCUCUGCUGUGCUGUCAGGAGAGAGCGCUUGUCCCACUACCUACCCGUGCUUUCUGGAAGCUAAGCGAGACUGUGAGCAUGUGGGUUAGCAGUGCACCCAGGAAUGCUGGCCUCAGCACAGCCUGGAGUCACAGUGGGCUCCACGUGUGGCCUGUUAAACCCCGUCUACUUAUUGACUGCAUUGAGGUAUGGGUGGGCCUCCGCAAGGUGAGAGCCAGGCUGUGACUGCAGACACUGGGCUGCCUGCCGAGGAGACUUACGUCCAUGAAGCACGCGUUCACUGUCCUGCACAUGCUGGAGGAAAGGCCAUAUGUUCUGCACCACAGUCGAAGAAAAUGAGUGCAAAAAAAAAUUUUUAAAGCUGAAUAGAACUGGUUUUCAAAAUUGGAAGCUUGAAGAUAACAGUCCAUCCCUGGGGUCCAUCCUCAAGCCAUCCCUGCCUUGGGGCAGAUAAUCACGUCAUUAUAGAAAUGUUUGCUUUGCACAGCCGGGAUGUUGGACCAUCCGGGACAUCAGUGGAGCUGAGACUGGCAUCCUUCACUGGCUUCUGUCACAAUGUACUCAAUAUGUUAUGCAUUACAUGAAAAUCAUAUGCACUUGGUAUAUUUGUACCUUUAAAAUAUUUGAAUAAAAUGUCCUUGUU
This is a long non-coding RNA of Cavia porcellus (domestic guinea pig), 736 nucleotides long. RefSeq lists it as uncharacterized. The transcript has 3 exons. The record is from RefSeq and is a predicted model, not a curated record. NCBI's taxonomy places the organism in Eukaryota, Metazoa, Chordata, Mammalia, Rodentia, Caviidae.